This 351-nucleotide unclassified non-coding RNA is filed under the name Bovista tomentosa. RNAcentral's name for it is "partial internal transcribed spacer region". The stretch from base 1 to 46 matches the Rfam family "Eukaryotic small subunit ribosomal RNA", at positions 1786 to 1831 of the family's 1831-position model. Lineage: Eukaryota; Fungi; Basidiomycota; Agaricomycetes; Agaricales; Lycoperdaceae. The record is from RNAcentral.
AAGUCGUAACAAGGUUUCCGUAGGUGAACCUGCGGAAGGAUCAUUAUUGAAUACUCUUGAUGGGUUGUAGCUGGCUCUUCGGGGCAUGUGCACGCCUGUCUUGACUUUAUUCAUCCACCUGUGCACCUUUUGUAGUCUUGGAGGUUGAGAGCAGUCGACUAUCGGAUACUUUCCGGAUGUGACGAAUUGCUGAGUGCGAAAGCAUACAGCUCUUCUCAAAUGACUUGCAACACCUUCUCCUUCAAGUACUAUGUAUUCAUAUACCACAUAGUAUGUUGUAGAAUGUGAUCAAUGGGCUUAUAUGCCUAUAAUAAUCAUAUACAACUUUCAGCAACGGAUCUCUUGGCUCUC